This 350-nucleotide long non-coding RNA is filed under the name Portunus trituberculatus (swimming crab). RNAcentral describes it as "uncharacterized LOC123509060". The record is from RNAcentral. Lineage: Eukaryota; Metazoa; Arthropoda; Malacostraca; Decapoda; Portunidae.
AGCAAUAUAAAAAACCCGGAGCGACAGGAAAACACAUCAGGAAGUGCCGUUCCAAAAGGCAUUACUUCCGACACCAACCAGAACCAGCCAGAACACCCGUCAUUGCUAGCUUGGAGUGUUGACAACUUGACAUUGACAGCUUUUGAACAUUUGUGGAGCAGAGGUGCACCAUGGCUUGCCACAAUGUCACAACUGGUCCUUGGAGAGCCGCUGGUGGUGACAGGCUGCCUGUGUCCUCUCUGCGGCAAAACUCCACAAAUACUCCACUCACCAAGUUCCAGAGGGAGAGGAUCACCAGACACCACCGGCCGUACUAAAGGAAGUUGCUCUAUGUAGGGAUGGAACAUGGC